UACGGAGAGUGCAAGCGUUGUUCGGAAUCAUUGGGCUUAAAGCGCGUGUAGGCGGGACGCCAAGUGCCGGGUGAAAUCCCUCGUCUCAAUCGGGGAACUGCCCGGCAAACUGGCGUUCUUGAGGCGGGUAGAGGUGACUGGAACGACGGGUGGAGCGGUGAAAUGCGUAGAUAUCCGUUGGAACGCCGGCGGCGAAAGCGAGUCACUAGGCCCGUCCUGACGCUCAGACGCGAAAGCGUGGGUAGCAAACAGG
Molecule: ribosomal RNA, 253 nt
Filed under: uncultured bacterium
Lineage: Bacteria
Description: partial 16S ribosomal RNA
Rfam family: Bacterial small subunit ribosomal RNA
Source: RNAcentral